AGCGCACCUUGGGGUGCUUACACACAUCAUUAGAAAUGGGCUAGUCCAGGUGCGAGAAUUAGCCUGUAAGGGCUAGAGUUCAUGGGCCAAGCAGUUCUUAAAUGAAUACAGUUUGUGUGUUGUUAUUUCGGGCAUGAGCUAGCCAAGCGGCCGGGGUGUUGGGGAUGCAGCCCCGCCGCUCCUAUUUCAACAGAUGGCUGCCCAACGUGAGGCUAACUGAAUCCACAAAAAGCCUGAGAAAGCUUGGGAAAGAAUGGAGUGAAGCAUGUUUUCUUGGUAGCAGAAAUUUCUUGGGUCUACUCUGCUUGCUAGAGGCAAGCAAGCGCUCUCAUCUAAGAGAGGCUUCCUGACUCAGCUUCAGCUGCAAAACCCUGCAGCUCAUUAAGAGGUCCUGCCACGAAACACUUAAACGGUGUUGGUGAAAAGCUGAACGCAUGCUUUUCGGUUUUCAGCCGUAGCAGGAAAAAAGCUGUGCUGUUUAAAAAUGCCGGCUUUCUGGGCCGUCCUGCCAGGGCAAACUCUGACUGAGGCAGGAGGGCCAACUACCGAGAGAGGACUUGACUGUUGUCUGUUGUAGCUCGCUGGCUGGCAGGGACCUUGAAACGCCAUAGAAUUGUGGCUAUAAACAUGGCUACAGCCUGUAUCUCCGCCAUGAGGCUGGAAAGCUAAGGAAUGGACUGGAUCUAGCUGGCAAAGCCACGGCUUUAAUCCUACUCAUAUUGCUCAGUAAUUUAAAGGCUCGUGUGGUCAGAAAAAGAGAGAGAUACAGUAAAGAGAUUCAAAGAUAAAGAAAAUGUUUAAAUGAUUUACAGUGUGUUAAAAAUAUAUGCAAGCUAAAAGUUAAAAGUUUUUAAAAAAAAAGUAAGAAAAAGAGAAGUUGUGUGUGGUAGUACACGCCUUUAAUCCCAACACUUGGGAGGCAGAGGGAGAUUGACCUCUGUGACUUCAAGGUGUGGUAGCAAACACCUUUAAUCCCAAUGCCUGGGAGGCAGAGACAGGCGGAUCUCUGAGAGUUCAAGGAGAGCCUGGUCUACAGAGUUAUUCCAGGUCAAAGAGAUACAGAGAAUAUAAAAUAAAAGUAAAAAUAAAUGAAAUAGAGGUUAAAAUAAAGCGUACAAAGAUGGAAAAUACACAGAGAAUCUUGAUACUGUAUACUAUUAUGCUCUCUUUGAAUUGUUUGAAUGCUGAGGAAGGAGCAACAGAUGCUAAAAGAUAUUUGUUUAUAAAUGCUGCUGAACUAAUCCAUCGUAGAGAUUUUGAUGCCUUGACUUUGAAAUUUGGAUCUAAGGACAUGAUACUUUGGAAAGGAGUUUCUUUUUUUGUUUUCACAGAGGAUGAGACCCUGUUCAUUUCUUCUAUUCCGAUAUGGUAUGAUGGACCACGCCCUCCUGAACGGUUGCUGUGAAUACCUUCAGAAAAUUGCUUCGCUCAACUGCCAACUGAGAUGAAACUAGCACACAGGUUAUACCAUGAAAGACCUAAUUAACGACGCCCCCAUUCAGCAGGAAGCAGUUUGGAGAGAAAAAACUGCGCCCAUGUUCCCAAAUAUUGUUUAUAAAUGUUCUUUUACAUUUAAAGGGGGAGAUGAUAUAGGUAUGAAUAAUUUACAUUGAUAUGGAUUUUGCUUUAGUGAUUUAAAUUUAAGGUCAAUUUUGUAAUGUAUAUAGGUUGUUAAUGAAUAAUCAUUAAUAAUAGUUAAGUUUGUAGUCAUGUUAGUUAAGAUUUUCUAGAUGUGCAUAGAUAUAUUUUAGAUAGGCAUUCUUCAUAUUUUUCAAAGAUUAUAGAAUAUGGCAUUUUAAAUGUUUUAAUAACUUAGGACUUUUCAUGACAAUGAGACACUCUGCUCCUGGCAGCACCAAUCUAC
This is a long non-coding RNA of Alexandromys fortis (reed vole), 1864 nucleotides long. RefSeq lists it as uncharacterized. Lineage: Eukaryota; Metazoa; Chordata; Mammalia; Rodentia; Cricetidae. The record is from RefSeq and is a predicted model, not a curated record. The transcript has 2 exons.